CUGGCCUUGAGAUCCCGACGGAUGCGGGGCAACGCCCGCAGCCCUUCGGGGCGUCGGAGACAGGUGGUGCAUGGUUGUCGUCAGCUCGUGUCGUGAGAUGUUGGGUCAAGUCCCGCAACGAGCGCAACCCUUGUCCUUAGUAGCCAGCGAGCAAGACGGGCACUCUAGGGAGACUGCCGGGGAUGACCCGGAGGAAGGCGGGGAUGACGUCAAAUCAUCAUGCCCCUUAUGGCCAGGGCUACACACGUGCUACAAUGGCGCCCACAGAGGGAAGCGAACCCGCGAGGGGGAGCAGAACCCAGAAAAGGCGUCCCAGUUCGGAUUGCAGGCUGCAACCCGCCUGCAUGAAGCUGGAAUCGCUAGUAAUCGCGGAUCAGAACGCCGCGGUGAAUGCGUUCCC
Molecule: ribosomal RNA, 400 nt
Filed under: uncultured bacterium
Lineage: Bacteria
Description: bacterial SSU rRNA
Rfam family: Bacterial small subunit ribosomal RNA
Source: RNAcentral